GAUGAACGCUAGCGACAGGCUUAACACAUGCAAGUCAAGGAGAAUUCCCGACUUGUCGGGAUAGUAAACUGGCGAACGGGUGAGUAACACGUAGGUAAUCUACCCUCGGGAUCGGGAUAACCUCGCGAAAGUGGGGAUAAUACCGAAUAAAGUCUCGGUAUAAUUUGUCGAGAUGAAAGAUGGGGAUCUUCGGACCUAUUACCUGAGGAUGAGCCUGCGCCUGAUUAGCUAGUUGGUAGGGUAAAUGCCUACCAAGGCAACGAUCAGUAGCUGGUCUGAGAGGAUGAUCAGCCACAUUGGGACUGAGAUACGGCCCAGACUCCUACGGGAGGCAGCAGUGAGGAAUUUUGCGCAAUGGGCGAAAGCCUGACGCAGCAACGCCGCGUGACUGAUUAAGCUCUGAGGAGUGUAAAAGUCUGUCGUAGAGGAAGAAACUAUCCGAUAAGAAUAUUGUCGGAUACUGACGGUACUCUAUGAGAAAGCUCCGG
Molecule: ribosomal RNA, 488 nt
Filed under: uncultured bacterium
Lineage: Bacteria
Description: bacterial SSU rRNA
Rfam family: Bacterial small subunit ribosomal RNA
Source: RNAcentral